UGAAACAUCUUCGGGUUGUGAGGUUAAGCGACUAAGCGUACACGGUGGAUGCCCUGGCAGUCAGAGGCGAUGAAGGACGUGCUAAUCUGCGAAAAGCGUCGGUAAGGUGAUAUGAACCGUUAUAACCGGCGAUGUCCGAAUGGGGAAACCCAGUGCAAUUCGUUGCACUAUCGUUAACUGAAUACAUAGGUUAACGAGGCGAACCGGGGGAACUGAAACAUCUAAGUACCCCGAGGAAAAGAAAUCAACCGAGAUUCCCCCAGUAGCGGCGAGCGAACGGGGAGCAGCCCAGAGUCUGAAUCAGCUUGUGUGUUAGUGGAACGGUCUGGAAAGUCCGACGGUACAGGGUGAUAGUCCCGUACACCAAAAUGCACAGGUUGUGAACUCGAAGAGUAGGGCGGGACACGUGGUAUCCUGUCUGAAUAUGGGGGGACCAUCCUCCAAGGCUAAAUACUCCUGACUGACCGAUAGUGAACCAGUACCGUGAGGGAAAGGCGAAAAGAACCCCGGCGAGGGGAGUGAAAAAGAACCUGAAACCGUGUACGUACAAGCAGUGGGAGCACCUUCGGGUGUGACUGCGUACCUUUUGUAUAAUGGGUCAGCGACUUAUAUUCUGUAGCAAGGUUAACCGUAUAGGGGAGCCGCAGGGAAACCGAGUCUUAACUGGGCGUUAAGUUGCAGGGUAUAGACCCGAAACCCGGUGAUCUAGCCAUGGGCAGGUUGAAGGUUGGGUAACACUAACUGGAGGACCGAACCGACUAAUGUUGAAAAAUUAGCGGAUGACUUGUGGCUGGGGGUGAAAGGCCAAUCAAACCGGGAGAUAGCUGGUUCUCCCCGAAAGCUAUUUAGGUAGCGCCUCGUGAACUCAUCUUCGGGGGUAGAGCACUGUUUCGGCUAGGGGGUCAUCCCGACUUACCAACCCGAUGCAAACUACGAAUACCGAAGAAUGUUAUCACGGGAGACACACGGCGGGUGCUAACGUCCGUCGUGAAGAGGGAAACAACCCAGACCGCCAGCUAAGGUCCCAAAGUCAUGGUUAAGUGGGAAACGAUGUGGGAAGGCACAGACAGCCAGGAUGUUGGCUUAGAAGCAGCCAUCAUUUAAAGAAAGCGUAAUAGCUCACUGGUCGAGUCGGCCUGCGCGGAAGAUGUAACGGGGCUAAACCAUGCACCGAAGCUGCGGCAGCGACACUAUGUGUUGUUGGGUAGGGGAGCGUUCUGUAAGCCUGCGAAGGUGUGCUGUGAGGCAUGCUGGAGGUAUCAGAAGUGCGAAUGCUGACAUAAGUAACGAUAAAGCGGGUGAAAAGCCCGCUCGCCGGAAGACCAAGGGUUCCUGUCCAACGUUAAUCGGGGCAGGGUGAGUCGACCCCUAAGGCGAGGCCGAAAGGCGUAGUCGAUGGGAAACAGGUUAAUAUUCCUGUACUUGGUGUUACUGCGAAGGGGGGACGGAGAAGGCUAUGUUAGCCGGGCGACGGUUGUCCCGGUUUAAGCAUGUAGGCUGAUUGUCCAGGCAAAUCCGGAUAAUCAAGGCUGAGGUGUGAUGACGAGGCACUACGGUGCUGAAGUAACAAAUGCCCUGCUUCCAGGAAAAGCCUCUAAGCAUCAGGUAACAUUAAAUCGUACCCCAAACCGACACAGGUGGUCAGGUAGAGAAUACCAAGGCGCUUGAGAGAACUCGGGUGAAGGAACUAGGCAAAAUGGUGCCGUAACUUCGGGAGAAGGCACGCUGGUGUGUAGGUGAAGUCCCUGCGGAUGGAGCUGAGACCAGUCGAAGAUACCAGCUGGCUGCAACUGUUUAUUAAAAACACAGCACUGUGCAAACACGAAAGUGGACGUAUACGGUGUGACGCCUGCCCGGUGCCGGAAGGUUAAUUGAUGGGGUUAUCCGUAAGGAGAAGCUCUUGAUCGAAGCCCCGGUAAACGGCGGCCGUAACUAUAACGGUCCUAAGGUAGCGAAAUUCCUUGUCGGGUAAGUUCCGACCUGCACGAAUGGCGUAAUGAUGGCCAGGCUGUCUCCACCCGAGACUCAGUGAAAUUGAACUCGCUGUGAAGAUGCAGUGUACCCGCGGCAAGACGGAAAGACCCCGUGAACCUUUACUAUAGCUUGACACUGAACAUUGAGCCUUGAUGUGUAGGAUAGGUGGGAGGCUUUGAAGCGUGGACGCCAGUCUGCGUGGAGCCAACCUUGAAAUACCACCCUUUAAUGUUUGAUGUUCUAACGUUGGCCCCUGACCGGGGUUGCGGACAGUGUCUGGUGGGUAGUUUGACUGGGGCGGUCUCCUCCCAAAGCGUAACGGAGGAGCACGAAGGUUAGCUAAUCCUGGUCGGACAUCAGGAGGUUAGUGCAAUGGCAUAAGCUAGCUUGACUGCGAGCGUGACGGCGCGAGCAGGUGCGAAAGCAGGUCAUAGUGAUCCGGUGGUUCUGAAUGGAAGGGCCAUCGCUCAACGGAUAAAAGGUACUCCGGGGAUAACAGGCUGAUACCGCCCAAGAGUUCAUAUCGACGGCGGUGUUUGGCACCUCGAUGUCGGCUCAUCACAUCCUGGGGCUGAAGUAGGUCCCAAGGGUAUGGCUGUUCGCCAUUUAAAGUGGUACGCGAGCUGGGUUUAGAACGUCGUGAGACAGUUCGGUCCCUAUCUGCCGUGGGCGCUGGAGAAUUGAGGGGGGCUGCUCCUAGUACGAGAGGACCGGAGUGGACGCAUCACUGGUGUUCGGGUUGUCAUGCCAAUGGCACUGCCCGGUAGCUAAAUGCGGAAGAGAUAAGUGCUGAAAGCAUCUAAGCACGAAACUUGCCCCGAGAUGAGUUCUCCCUGAGACUUUAAGUCUCCUGAAGGAACGUUGAAGACGACGACGUUGAUAGGCCGGGUGUGUAAGCGCAGCGAUGCGUUGAGCUAACCGGUACUAAUGAACCGUGAGGCUUAACCUU
RNAcentral lists this ribosomal RNA (2923 nucleotides) under Klebsiella pneumoniae 30684/NJST258_2. RNAcentral's name for it is "bacterial LSU rRNA". It matches the Rfam family "Bacterial large subunit ribosomal RNA". Lineage: Bacteria; Pseudomonadati; Pseudomonadota; Gammaproteobacteria; Enterobacterales; Enterobacteriaceae. The record is from RNAcentral.